This 234-nucleotide ribosomal RNA is filed under the name uncultured bacterium. Its description in RNAcentral is "partial 16S ribosomal RNA". It matches the Rfam family "Bacterial small subunit ribosomal RNA", at positions 118 to 350 of the family's 1533-position model. The record is from RNAcentral.
UGAGCAACCUACCUUCAGCUUUGGGAUAACCCUCGGAAACGGGGGCUAAUACCGGAUAUUCAUUGCUUCGCGCACGUGGGGUGGUGGAAAGUUUUUCGGUCAGGGUUGAGCCCGCGGCCUAUCAGCUUUGUUGGUGAGGUAGUGGCUCACCAAGGCGACGACGGGUAGCCGGCCUGAGAGGGUGACCGGCCACACGUGGGACUGAGACACGGCCCAGGCUCCGUACGGGAGGCA